RNAcentral lists this long non-coding RNA (4008 nucleotides) under Homo sapiens (human). RNAcentral describes it as "HSALNT0139689". Lineage: Eukaryota; Metazoa; Chordata; Mammalia; Primates; Hominidae. The record is from RNAcentral.
AAUAAGAAGGGGUUUGCAAGUAUUUUCUAUAAGAGGACAGAUAGUUUAAAUUCUAGGCUUUGCAGUCCAUUUUUUGAUAUUUGUUUCAAUUACUCAAUUCUUCUUUCCAGCUCGAAAGCUGCAUAGACAAUAUGUAAAAGAAUGAGCAUGGCCAUUUUCCAAUAAAACUUACAGAAACUGGUGGCAGGCCAUAUUUGUUCUGUGAUUCUUGGUUUCUUGACCCCUAUCAUAUAUUUAAAAACUGGCAACAAAUCUAAUACUUUAAAGGACUUUUUCUAUUAACCAACCACCAUUUCCAGAAUAUAUUUAUUAUAGGCCAAAGGUUCAGCUAAAGUAGAAGUGCAGUGAAGCAGAACUUGAAUUCUGCAAAUGUAUUAAAAAAUUCUUUUAAAUACGGAACAUUUAUCUUGAAUUUCUUAUCUCAAAAUUCAGUGGCCUACCAAAGGUGGAACAGUAGGAACAGUCCAACAGGGUGCAGGCGACUCAAAACAAGGAGUCACAUCCUGAUAUAACUUACAUAAUAGAAUGAAGACACUGGCAACUUUCUUGAGAAUCCAUUGCAAUGAAUUGUGGGAGAACAACAGUAGAAUGUGGACACUGAUUAGGAAGAUGCUAUUGUAAAAAUGUAGACAAGACGUAAUGAUAAUAAUGGCUGCUUGGAUAUGAAUGGCAACAGAGGGUGUCGUGAGAAGAGGCUUCAUAUUCUGGAUAUAUUUUGAAUAUAAACUCAUUAAUUUCCAAAGAUUUUGAAUCUUGGAUGAGAGAAAAAAUAAAUCAAGAAAAAUUCCAAGGUUUUGUCCUGAAUAACUGAAAUGGAAUUGCCAUCAACUGAGAGAUGGUGAAGACUGAAACAUAAAUAGGUCUGGAGAUACUAGUAGUUUUUGUUUUGUUUUGUUUGUUUUGAGGCAGUCUCGUUCUGAUGUCUAGGCUGGAGUAUAGUGGCAUGAUCUCAGUUCACUGCAACCUCUGCCUCCCUUGGUUCAAGAGAUGCUACUGUCUCAGCCUCCUGAGUAUUUGAGAUUGCAGGCGUGCACCACCAUGCCUGGUUAAUUUUCACAUUUUUAAUAGAAAUGGGGUUUUGCCAUGCUGGACUCAAACUCCUGACCUCAAGUGAUCCACUCGCCUCCGCCUCCCAAAGUGCUGGGAUUAAAGGCGUGAGCCACCGUUCCCAGUCAUAUCAGUAGUUUAAAACUGGGCAUAUUGAGUAUGAGAUGUUUGCUAGGCCCCCAGGUGCUGACAUCAAGGAGCUAGUUUAAUAUAUGAGUUUGGUUGUUAGGAUAUAAAGAAAAAUAAAACUCAUGAAACUAAAUGAGAUCACCAAAAGACAGAGUAUAUAGAACUAAGAAUGGAACCCUUAAAUAUUCCAAUAUUAGAAAGUUAGAAGAGGAUAAAGCUACAACGAUGCUCAAGAAGGCGGCGGCAGAGAGGUGCUAUCUAUUGCAAGAAAACCUGUCAACUCAAUGAAAGUGUUUCAAAAAAGAAAAGCUGCAUUAAACAUGUGCCGAUUUUAAAAACACAUCUUAAUUUAAGAAACAUUAAAAUAGAAAAAAAAUUUACAUAUCUCAAUUGAUGUAAUUCACUAAUGUCUACCCAAAAGGAGAGCUAAACAUAUUAAAACAGAACAGAGAAUGUAUAAAACAAAUGAAUAAAACAAGAUGUGAAAUAUUCCAAAGUAAAACUGUAUAUUCUGUUUUAGAAAAUGUCACUGCAUGUAAAAAUGGCUGGCUUUUGAUCAGAGAUGGCUUUCAAUUGCAACUCAGCAUGCUUUGUCUCUGAACAGCUUUGCAAAAACACAAUAGCUUCUAUAUCUCUGUUGUAGUUUGAUAAUAUCUGCCCUCCCAAUUAAUCGUCUCAUCUUUUCAUCAAUUAUUACAUUUUCCACCUUUUGAGUUGAAGAUAUCUUUGCUUGGUUGCAUAUAGGCAAAAUUAAGCUUAAGGACAAAGGUACAUUAUUUAAGGGACUUGCAAUUAUUUGUGUUAUUAUUAAAUAAAGAACAGAGGACUAUUAAGGCAAAGUUGAAAUUUCCAGAAUAUCACCAUCCUAUGAAAGUCAUCGAUCAGUCACCACAACAUGGCCUAAUUGACCACAAGUACUCAGAGGCUUUCAGUAACUUCACAAGGUCUAUAUUGCAAUAGCAAUGAAUACCCUACACCUCCAGAAGAAGAUGAAGAGUAAAAAGUUACACACCAAGUCUAGUAUUUCAAAGUUUAUAUCUAAUCUCCAGAGGAAAAAAAUUAAGUUAUAUCUUUUUAGAGUAUUAGAAAAGUAUCAUAGCAUGUUAUGUAGCCAUGCAAGUUAGAGAAAAAUAAAAUCACAUUUAGAGGUAACACUGCAAUUUGCAAUUAGAAAUUGAAACAAUGUUAUCUCUAUUUUAAAUGCUAGCUCUCAUUGAAUAGUGAAUUUCAUGUUGAUUAUAUUCUAAUUCUCCAGCUUAUAUAUCUUCAAAAUCUUUUCAAAGUGUACUGUACAAUAAAAAAUCACAAAAUUAACUUUUACAUAAAGAGGUUAAUUUGAACCCAAUGCAGAAAAAUAGUACUAAGCAUAAUUUUUAUAUUCUGUAUCUAACAAUCUAGGCACAAAAUCAAAUGUGCCAUUUUCACUUCAUGGCUAUAUAGGACUUUAAUGUCUCAACAGUGAAUCAGUGACCUACAAGAGUGUCAUUAUUUUUGAUAAUAGUGCACAAGCUAUUAAACUUAUGCCAUGGCAAACCAAACAAUUUGGUUAUCUUGCAAUUUUUUAAUGAUGAGUGCAUUAGUGGAGAUCAUCUAAUCUACAAGAACGGAGGUGAAACAGACACACAGCUCCCUAGAGAAAUUUAAAAAGUAAAAACAAGUAUUGUAAAGACUACUGAAAAACAUAUAUUUUGGGGUAUACAGCUCUUUGUUUUGGAUAUCUGUGUUCUGUUUUCAUGACCAUUAUGGUCUCUUUUCAUGACCAUUUUGAGUGGCUUAAGUGUGGCCAGUUACAGACUAAUGGAGAUUUUUUAAGUUGUUAAAUGUUGAGUGAAAUUGGAGAGGCUACUUGUUUGCAAACAAGGACAAAUAAACAGGACAAUUAUUUAACAGUUUAAAAAGGAAACCAGAAAGCUAUUAUUUAAGCAUAAAUGAACACACAAAAAUAUCAUAAACAAAAUAAAAUUGGUUGUGCUAAAUAUUCACUAUAACCAGAUCAGCAAAGCAUUUUUACUAAAGAUCAGGAUUAAACAUAGAAAUAACUUGAUUACACAGGAUACUUUUUCACUAAUGCUAUCUAUUAUGGGAUAUUGUCUUUAUCCUCAUUUGAAAAAAUUAAACAAAGGAGAGCUGUAUUCCUCUGCUCUCAACAAUGUGGUUCUACUCAUCAAUUUAUUAUUUUUAAAAAUUUCUGGUUUUGUUAAGUACUAAAAGUGUAAGCAUAUUAUUUAAAGAAAAUCUACUACUGAAUAAACUUACCAAUUUUCCUUUCACAGCUUUGGAUAUAAGUAUGAGACCAAUAUUAGAAUAACAUGUUCUUGCAAAGUUCCUUUCUUAAUUUUUAGUUUGCUUUUUCUCUUUUACAAAUGAGGUAUCAUUUACAUACAUUAAAAUAUAUAACACUCAAAUAUUCAAUUUUAUGAGAGUUGAUAAUUGUAUAUAUCUAUACCACAGCAUCCAAUCACAAUAUAGAACAUUUCUACCACUGAGAAUAUUUUCUUGUCAAUUCCCAGUGAAAUCUCAUCCUUGGCCUUCAGACAAUCAUCUUUUUAACUUAUAUUUCCAUAUAUUAGUUUUACUGUUUUAGAUACUCAUACAAAUGAAAUAUAAUGUGAACUCUUUUGUGCCUACCUUCGUAUGAUUUGCAUAAUGCCUGUAGUAUUUAUCAAUGUUUGUACAUCUAUUCUUUCUUUUUUAUUGCCGAGUAUGCUGUUGUAUGAAUAUAUCAUCACUAUCCAAUCAUUUUUUAUCCAUUGUCUCAUAGAUAUUCAGAUUCUAAGUUGAAAUUAUAUUUAAAUUGCAUUGUAAAUAGAAUUUCUAUGAACAUUCAUAAUA